UUGUGUUGUGUUGUGGUUGUCGAUAAUGGAAAAGUCUAAGCUGUGUACCGGUAGUACAGCUCCUGAGAUUUUUAAAAUAAAGAGAAGGAGAUCAGAGGGAGUGUAAUAGUUUUGACGUGACUUGAUAAUCACAAAUGCAACGUUACGUCCGUAUAAGUUAAUAGGGGGGCACAAAACUACAACACAAAAGUAGCGUGAAGAGACCGCAAUAAUAAUGUGAUUGCUGGCUUAUAGUAUAUGAUCCAACCCCCUCCGGGACCAUUCCACGAUUACUUCACAGAGUCGUGCCUCUCAAUUUAUACAUAUGUAAGUAUAUACGACAUCAUCAAUGAUAAAGUGUUAUUUUAGCGGUGAAUUUCAUACGAUACUCUUUCUAUUGAAUGGAGUAUAAUUUUUUUGCAGAUUUUUUAAAUUAAAAAAAAACUCUUGUAUCCAAAAAAGAUGUAAACAAAAAGGACAAACAUUUAAAAUCAUGAUAACUAAAGUAUCAAAAGAAAAAAAAAAAAAGGUGGCUUGAAUGAGAACGUGAACCAACUGCAUUUCACAUGCUUCGAAAAAAUAUUAGAUAGAUGUAUUAAAAAAACCGUACCCUCUCUGAUUCCUCGAACCCUCCUCUCAUC
This 620-nucleotide long non-coding RNA is filed under the name Capsella rubella. Its description in RNAcentral is "long non-coding RNA (CRUB_LNC003589)". Lineage: Eukaryota; Viridiplantae; Streptophyta; Magnoliopsida; Brassicales; Brassicaceae. The record is from RNAcentral.